AUGAUCUACAGAGAUAUCAAGAGCUAUCAGCAUACACAAGGCUAGAAAUACACACAUACAAUCCAUGAAAUAUUCCCUUUUGCUCUCACCUUCUACUGCCAUCCUCUCACGGAGUUCCUGCUGCAGUCGACUCUGCCUGUCUUCCAGUUCUAGCUCCCGAGCACUAAAAGGAAAAAAGCAGAAAUCCAAGUUCCAGAUGUAAUAAAAUACUGCACACGUUGCUUCAUAUUCAUUUUCAGUUUCUGCUCGCUCUCUAGAUAUCUGCUGUGCAUUUUACCAAUCUUGUUUGGAACAACUCUUCAAUAACUUAAGAUAUAGAACUGUAUUUUUAAAAGAUUUAAUUGCACUUUUAACAUUUCAAGUUCUUUGUCUUCAGCUAGGAAGUGCAAUGCCAAAAGUGGAGCAAACUAAAUAUAGAGCAGAGUCAAAGAGUAAAUAAAUCUGCAAUGCCUCUAUGUAUCCCCUGCUACUUCCCACUCUAAAACCAAAGUUACUUAUUAACAAAUUACUUAUUACUUAAGGACAUUAUCAGGUCAUUGCAAACACCACCUUGGGACUUUUCUGCCACUAAGGCUAUCAGCUUCCACAUUGCUGAGGUGAGCUGACACAGUCAGAAAUUAAUUUCAGUGAAUUUGCACAGAAAUUCACUGAAACAGAAUUUGGGGGGAACAGGACCAGGGGGAAGCGAAAAACCCCCCAAUGUCAUUAACAGUAAAACACCUUUACCAUCUGAGCCCACAUGAGAGGCACUGGGGUCCCACUACAGGCAGAAAGGAGGACCACAUGGCAAAGGUGACUGAAUUCAAUGCUUUUGGCUAUGCUUAAAAGACAGCUUUACCACAACCAGAAGGAGUCCCAUGUUAUUUCUGCAUAGCUUGAAAACACUUGCACAAACAGGAUGUGUUUUAUACAGAACAGCAUGAGAAGGGCUCACAUACCUGUACCUCUGCAUGUGCACAAAUAAUUGGAACUUUCAUCUCUUACCCAUAUUAUUCUUUCUUCUACCACUCCUCUAAAAUGUACUUGGAGGGAUUGGAUUGGGAUUCCCAUCUCAGCCUAAGAAGCUGCUGACCUCCUGGCUUUACAGGGAAGUCAAUACUGACAGAUCUUCCACUGCUAUUUAUGACAAAAUCCCCAUUUUUAACACAUUCACUCACAAUAUCAUCAGUUCAGACUCGUAGCGAACCAAGGCAUUCUUCUCCUGCACCAGCUUGAACCACUCCUGCAUCAGCUUGGGGUCAUCCUUCUUACCCAUGCCUGCCAAGAAAGAAACCUGGUAAAUUUUCAGGUAACGCCCUGCAAUCCUUACAAGCCCAAACUGCAAAAACAACAAUGGGGCAAAAUGUGCAAAGAAAGCCGAGCAAGAUGCUGCCAGAGCACUCCCAAGCCGGGUCCGUUCAGUUUGCCUACAGCACUCAGCUGAGUGGAAGUCACCUCCAAAAGGAUUCUCUUCUCUUUGGAGCCUACUUCAUUUUUUUCAUUCUGAUAUUCUUGUGAUUACUUGUUUCUUCCUCACUCUUACUGCAGAAAGCCCCAGUGUCUAUGAGUAUUUAACUUUUCCUUUCAUUAGAAGGAUUUUAUAGAUUCUCAUGCCAGCUACUCAAACAUAUGCUAAUCAGAAAAGAUUCAAUUGCCACUCCAUGUGUUUUACCUUUGUUUUCUUCAAUUGCAUGUCCUCAAGUUUUUCUUUUACUAGCCUAAAGUAACAUCUUGUCUCUUCUUUUUUCAACAGUUAAGUAAAUCUUUUCUGCCUGCUCCUCCUAGCCACACAUAUCUAUUCAUCUUGAAGAUCCCCCUGCACAGUGAACACAGAAACUAAUUCUACUGUACUGCAUACCAGCACUAGAAAGAAAAGGAACCCCCAGACACAUUUGCUAAUAUGAAAGAAGAAUAAAGAAACCUUGGGCCUUGACCACCUAGUACAGAACUCUUUGCUGGUCCUUUUAUUUCAAAACAAACUCCUAAACUAAUUCAAUAGUCCACUGAUGAGUCUUGUGUCUGUCAGGUGUCAUGUGGAAUAAAUGCAGAAUGCUGUUCCCAAAGCCUUCUGUUGAUAUUUAGCAAACACAAGAACUUACCAAGGAGGCUCCUCCUGGCAAGCUCUUGGUCUGGGCCACUUAUUCCACACUGAACCACCUGCAUCUGAAUGCUGUCAUUUACAUCAGACCCCAUCAAGGCCACUGGCAACAUUCCUGCCUGUGUGGCACUAGAAGCAGGAGCAAGGCCUCAAAUUGAGCUCAACAGCACUUUUGGAUUGCUGCAUCCCAUCAGCUUGCACUGCACAUGACCUAGGCAUCCCAAGGUAACCAACAUCCCUGUCUCUGCUUGUUAUUGUGGAUAUGUACUCUCUACAUCAAGAACAAAAGCUCUCAAACAGUCCAUCUGAUGCUAAAUUGAUCAAGCAGCAAGCUUACUAUUCAAACUCUACGACACAGACACAGCACAAAUACCACAUUAAUGGCUACUUAUGUCAGACCCAUACCACGUUAAUGGCUACUUAAUUCAGACCCAUACCACAUUAAUGGCUACUUAAUUCAGACCCAUGCCCUGCCUCAUCCUCAGUAUGUCACAGAAGCACUGUCCUGCAGUUACACAAGGGAGAGCCUACAACUCCUAGUCAGCUGCAGCUUGGGCUGCCUUUCACCUGCCUUUGGAAUUGUGUCAUUCCAGCCCCUCAGGGAAUACCAGGCUGGAUUUACCACCCUAAGAGCCCCUGGCUCCAAGGACUUUAUAGCAGUGUGUUGCUCAGUUCCAAGCAUUCCUUUCUGAGCAUCUCUGCACAGUAUGCCCACGUGGCGACAGGAGAGGGAGACCGUACAUGCAGAUGUCCAGUGCUGUGGCGCCAUGAAAACACUGGGAAGUCUCCCCUUCCUUUCCAAUGCCAGGAUGUAUAGAAAACAAAUGCCUCUAAGAAAAAGCCAAAACCACAAUGCUACUGACCUAUGAAAUACAUAAGUAUUUUUAAACAGCCAAUGAGUAGAGGAAUAAUGGGAGGACUGGAAAGGGAGCACUGACAACUGAUGUGAGGGAGCACUAUGGAAAGCAGAUAAGUGGUUAGCAAAAUUACACCAUGAACACACAUAAAACAACCCCUUCCCCAUGCCUUGGCAAUGGAAACUCUACAGCAAACUCCAUUUGGGAUGGUUAAAGAAUGCACUCGGCAAGACAGAUGAGGGAGAACUAGUCUAACUUAAGGUCUGUUGGUUUUUAAAGUUCACGGAUGUUUUUCAAUCAGUCCUUAUAAAGACACAGUAUUCCUUUAAGCCCUAUAUGCUAAUUAAAAGGCUGUAUUUAAGGAAACAGAUUGUCAUCCCUUACCCCACCUUCCAAACAUCUUUCAGGAGUAAUAGAGUAAUUGAAGGCACCAAAUGAAAAUAGAAACUUUUCAGUGUGACACUUGUGGUCCCACAGCUGCUGCCCAUUGUCCCUCCCAGUCACUGCACCUUCUCUUGCCCAGCUGGGACUAGCAAAAGGGAUACUGUACCUUUAACAGCUUGCCACAGGCUCAGAGAAGCUGGUUACCAGGUAGCUACAGACAAGGCUGGUUCGGGGACACAGCAAGAAAAGGGCUGGGGGGCCUUGUGGUUGCUAGCUGACUAGUGCUGCUAUGACAACCCAGCUGUGGGCAGGGAGGACAGGGGUGUGUGAGGUUACGUUACCUUCAUGGGCACAGCAAGGGCAGAAGGAGAGAGGUCUACGACGUGGUGUCCCGCCAUUGGGCUCAACUUCAAUAGGACCAAACGAGGAAGAGGAAGAGGCAGGAGAGGAAGAGGAAGUUGGAAGUGGAAAGGAAGAGGAGGAAAGGGGUGAAAUAAAAGACAAGCAAAGGACAAAAAGCAUAAGAGUGAGAAAGAAAGGAAACACAAGAAGAAAAAGAAAAGAAAAAAUACAAGAAAUGGAGAAGCAGAAACAAGGGAUACAGUCUACAGAUGAAUAAUGUCCCUAGUAAGCACAGACAACAGGUAAGAGGUAGACUGAGGUACUGGUGAACUCUUAGUGAGCUGUACAAAUACCAGGCAGGAGGUUACUGUUGCUGCACUUUUCCUAAUGCACAUUUCCAGGUGCAAGGUCUUUAACCGAAAGCUUUGUGACUCAGAUGUCAGGACGAGUAGAGAUAUUUAGAGAUAUUUAACUUCUGCUGAUAAAUGUCAGAUUUCAAGCAGGGUUACAGUAAGUCUCACCUGCAUGCAGAAGACACCAGCUGUAAGCAGCCACCCUACCUUAAGCUCUAUCAGGACCAUGCUCUUAUCACCAUGGCAGCAUCCACUGAUGGUAAAAGUGUCCUUUGUAAUGGAAUAGAAUGUCUUCAGACAGGGAACAUCACAGGGAGAAUCUGAUUACCAUGGAACCAGCCUGCCAGUACCUGCUGUGUCAAAAAGCUCCACAAAAUUAGAGUACCAGUGGACUGGGAAGGCUUUAGAAGGGACCAUCACAGAACUAGACCAGCACAUGGAUGACACACUGGAGCAGGAGGGAGAGCACAUCAGCUGCAAAGCCCGUGACUGAGCAGCACAGCUUUCUCAGAAGAAGAAACCUCUGCACUGGAAGCAGGAAGGGGCAACAUCAGGAGAGGUGCCACAGCUGGCCAUAGGACAGUUACAAAUAAAGCACUCUACCAACAACAUUGAGAAAGUGCCAGAACAUUAAUUACAGCUGUUCUGAAUUUUACAGCUUCAUUUAAAAUAGAAAAAUACUAAGGCUUCUUUUCCUACAACUGCCAUUUCACAGAUCAGGUUACAAAAGCAAAAACAAACAAGAAAAACCCCAAACCACAAAGGUAUGGCGAAGAAUAUGCUUCCACACAAAGCAGAGCAUUUAGUGUAUGAUACUUGUUAAAUAUUUAUUUCCCAUCCUAUCUUAUUCAGAAGUAAUUCUUUAAGCUAAAAGCUUUAAUACUCUUAACUUGGUCUAACCACUGUUUUGAGGGUGGCCAGGGAGAUGGAGAUUUAACUGUAUGGAAAAAAUCCACUUCUUUCAGGGUUUGAGAUUUCAUUCAGAACCUGGGGCUGGGGGAAUCUGAUACAUUUCAAGCCAUGCACAUAGAGACUUGGUGAGGAACUUCCAGUUUUCCAUAUUUGAGCUGAAAAUAAAUACCCAGUAUGUGAAAAUGUCAUUCAUCUCAUUGUGAAAUGGCCACACGCUGCUAGCUUUUGUCAUUAGUAAGCAAGUGGUCUGAUACUGGGAGAGGAUCCCAUCUUUGGUCUCCAGUAAAAAGCCCCAGGGAUCACACAGCACCUGACUGAUACAGAGCUCACUCCCCACAACUGCACUUUCCUCCCCUGCUCUUAGUUAUCUUCCCACUCUUGUCCAAAGAAAAUUUGUCCUUGAAUCAAGUUACAAAGUCCAUGGUAUCUACACUAGUCCUACUACUAGAAAAGUCAACAUGUUUUUUCAGUAAGAUAAUAAACAUAACCUUUGCAAUUAAGAUCCUUUCCAGCUACUCCAGAUGUAAAUUACAGUUAAUUACAUUGGUGAAUAUAGGUUGUGAUCAUUGCAAUUACUUUAGAAACAAUUUCUGUCCCAAGCAGGAUGUUUAGCAAGGUUUUAGAAAGUCUUCCUUAUGUAUUGGAGGGUCCUUAACAGCAAGAACAAAGUGCAACCUGAAAACGUACUUCCCACAGUUUUCUAAAGCUUAUUUUAUGGCUUACUGCUCCAAAAGCCAUUACUAAUCCUACAGUAAAUAGUAUUAUUGUAAUUAUUAUUAUUAAUAUUAUUGCAUUGUUUAGAGAAGAGAAAUCACCACCUCCCAGUCUCAUUAAAUUAUAAAUAGGAUCAUCACUGCGAGACAUUUUUUCUGGAUGUGGAGCCAGGGCCAAAUAGGGAAAAACCCAUUUGUUGUGCAAAUUAAAAAAACCCCCAACAAACCUAACCUCCCUUUCUGUUUAAGUCUCCUUCACCAUCAAAAAUAUACUGACACAGGUAUUCACCCACAACAUGGAAAGAGUCCUGGCAGCAGCAACACCCACUGAAGCAGUUUCUUUGGAAGGAGCUGAAAGGCAAGAGAAAAAACAUUUCUGUGACCUUCCCUUCCUAGGUUCCUCUUGUGCUGCCAGCUGUGGCUGUAGCCUCUGGAUAGAAAAUUACCUUUAUUUUCACCAGAGGGGUAAAGCUGCCAAGAGACUGUGUUAGUCACUAGUUGCUGCCUUUCAGUGCCACGAGCCUACUCUUGUUUUGUGUAAAGCCUUGUAAAGCAGUCCAAGCUGCAGGCAAGCCAGAGCACGGUUUGGAGGCAGGAGCUGCAGCUUAUUAAGGAAAGGAGUUCUGAACAUUCUCAAGAUGCAGAAGCUCUGCCUUGCACACCAGACACAUCUCAUUAAUGAAGUGACUGGAAUUACUUUGCUUCUGUAAAAAAGCCACAAGAAUGACCUUGUUUGUCACAGUACUCUUGAGAGAUUGCAGACUUUGCUACAGUGGUGGAAACCAAGAGCCAGGUGAAGAAUAAAUACCAUAGCUUCAGAAUCUCUUCAGAACAAGGACCAGAAAUUGUACAGCCACUAUGUUCAUUUUCACUGCACAUUGCUCUUUGUUACAGAAGCUACAUUGGACUGUUGCAUUCUUUUCUAAUCUUUAUUUACCUGUUGAUUAAAAAGCAAAUCUUCA
Molecule: long non-coding RNA, 6600 nt
Organism: Passer domesticus (house sparrow)
Lineage: Eukaryota; Metazoa; Chordata; Aves; Passeriformes; Passeridae
Exons: 2
Source: RefSeq, a predicted model, not a curated record